RNAcentral lists this ribosomal RNA (998 nucleotides) under uncultured bacterium. Its description in RNAcentral is "bacterial SSU rRNA". It matches the Rfam family "Bacterial small subunit ribosomal RNA", at positions 37 to 1033 of the family's 1533-position model. The record is from RNAcentral.
UGGCGGCGCGCCUAACACAUGCAAGUCGAACGGAGUUAUGUUGGCAGAAGUUUUCGGACGGACGCGGAUAUAACUUAGUGGCGAACGGGUGAGUAACACGUGAGCAACCUACCCUUCAGAGGGGGACAACAGUUGGAAACGACUGCUAAUACCGCAUAAGACCACGGUGUGGCAUCACACAGAGGUCAAAGGAGAAAUCCGCUGAAGGAUGGGCUCGCGUCCAAUUAGCUAGAUGGUGAGGUAACGGCCCACCAUGGCGACGAUUGGUAGCCGGACUGAGAGGUUGAUCGGCCACAUUGGGACUGAGACACGGCCCAGACUCCUACGGGAGGCAGCAGUGGGGAAUAUUGCACAAUGGAGGAAACUCUGAUGCAGCGACGCCGCGUGAGGGAAGAAGGUCUUCGGAUUGUAAACCUCUGUUGUCAGGGACGAUGAUGACGGUACCUGACGAGGAAGCCACGGCUAACUACGUGCCAGCAGCCGCGGUAAAACGUAGGUGGCAAGCGUUGUCCGGAAUUACUGGGUGUAAAGGGAGCGCAGGCGGGAGAGCAAGUUGGGAGUGAAAUCUGUGGGCUCAACCCACAAAUUGCUUUCAAAACUGUUUUUCUUGAGUGGUGUAGAGGUAGGCGGAAUUCCCGGUGUAGCGGUGGAAUGCGUAGAUAUCGGGAGGAACACCAGUGGCGAAGGCGGCCUACUGGGCACUAACUGACGCUGAGGCUCGAAAGCAUGGGUAGCAAACAGGAUUAGAUACCCUGGUAGUCCAUGCCGUAAACGAUGAUUACUAGGUGUGGGAGGAUUGACCCCUUCCGUGCCGCAGUUAACACAAUAAGUAAUCCACCUGGGGAGUACGACCGCAAGGUUGAAACUCAAAGGAAUUGACGGGGGCCCGCACAAGCAGUGGAGUAUGUGGUUUAAUUCGAAGCAACGCGAAGAACCUUACCAGGUCUUGACAUCCCGUGCAUAGCUAAGAGAUUAGUGAAGUCCUUCGGGACACGGAG